UAUCAACGUGCAUGAGUAGCAUUGGAUACGUGUCUGCCGGUAGAUCCCCCGUUGUACUUCGGCCGACUACCGGCGCCGUGUCCCGUCACUCUUGUGGCAUUGUCCCGAUGGAUUGAACUUGUGGCUUGCGUGCUAGUACCCGACCUACGGGAAGUGGUGCUUCGGAUAAUUGUUGCCUCACGGUGGACGCCCUUUGGGUGUGCCACUGUGACCGAAUAGCGCUUGYGGCGUUGCCUCGUACAACAGCCAUAUAAUGUGCAUGUUGAUAUCACRGCAACCUCGCUCUCGCUUUUGGUCUAGGAUGCUGCUAACRAUAAAGGCUCGAGGCCCUUCGGGUUGCCUYGAUCCRAAACAAUGUUCUCUCUCCGAAAUGGCGAUAACCRUGUUCAUGUCUUGCCUCUACCUCUCCACAGUUAUGUGGUAGGAUACGCAACCCUAUGGAUCCGGCCCUCAUGGAGGAGGAGACAUGCUUUCUCUAAAGUGGGGACAACCRUGCUCAUGUCUUGCCUCUACCUAGCCACAAURAGUGGUAGGAUACGCAACCUAUGGGCCGAUCCACAUGUAGGACAAGGCAUGCUCUGUCUGAAAUGGCGAUUACCGUGUUCAUGUCUUGCUCGAUCUCUCCACAGUUAAUUUCUGUGGUAGGAUAAGCAACCCUAUGGAUACGGCCCUCAUGGAUGAUGAGACAUUCNCAAUGCUCUCUCCGAAAUGGC
RNAcentral lists this unclassified non-coding RNA (713 nucleotides) under Bromus tectorum subsp. tectorum. RNAcentral's name for it is "partial miscellaneous RNA". The record is from RNAcentral. Lineage: Eukaryota; Viridiplantae; Streptophyta; Magnoliopsida; Poales; Poaceae.